RNAcentral lists this ribosomal RNA (592 nucleotides) under Legionella pneumophila. RNAcentral describes it as "partial 23S ribosomal RNA". It matches the Rfam family "Bacterial large subunit ribosomal RNA", at positions 1240 to 1811 of the family's 2925-position model. Lineage: Bacteria; Pseudomonadati; Pseudomonadota; Gammaproteobacteria; Legionellales; Legionellaceae. The record is from RNAcentral.
UCUGUAGGCUGAUGAAGGUGCAUUGAGAAGUGUGCUGGAGGUAUCAGAAGUGCGAAUGCUGACAUGAGUAACGAUAAUGUGGGUGAAAAGCCCACACGCCGGAAGUCCCAGGUUUCCUGCACGACGUUAAUCGGAGCAGGGUGAGUCGGCCCCUAAGGCGAGGCUGAAGAGCGUAGUCGAUGGGAACCAGGUUAAUAUUCCUGGACUUUUUAUAAGUGGUGAAGUGGGGACGAAGAAGGCUAGGUGAGCCAGGCGUUGGUUGUCCUGGUACUUGCAUGUAGGGGGGAAGACUUGGCAAAUCCGGUUUUCCAUAACUCUGAGGUGCGAAGUGGUUCUGACCUUUUGGUACAGAGAAGUCAUUGAUGCCCGGCUUCCAGGAAAAGCUGCUAGCCAUAACUUAUAGAGAACCGUACCGCAAACCGACACAGGUGGACAGGUAGAGAAUACUAAGGCGCUUGAGAGAACUCGGGUGAAGGAACUAGGCAAAAUGGUACCGUAACUUCGGGAGAAGGUACGCCCUUUUGGGUGAGGGCAUUUACUGUCUGAGCUUAAGAGGGCCGCAGAGACCAGGUGGCUGCGACUGUUUAUUAAA